CCAAAGGCUCUUUUCAGAGCCACCCAGAGAUCUCAGAAAAGAGCUGU
This is a non-coding RNA of Loxodonta africana (African savanna elephant), 47 nucleotides long. NCBI's taxonomy places the organism in Eukaryota, Metazoa, Chordata, Mammalia, Proboscidea, Elephantidae. The record is from Rfam.